UAAGAGGAAAAGGCUUUCUUCAGUGAACCUACAAUCAUCAGGUUUAACAAGUUUAACUGGGUAUAUGCAAUUCUGAAAUAGGCUUCAAUAUCACAAAAUUAUUAUCAACAUUAUGGUAACAUAUAACACUAUUCCAAAUAAACAGAACAUGAAGAUAAGAAAAGAACCCCCUUCCCCUCAAGAAAAGAAAGAAAGAAACAUGGAGAGUUGGAUUUUACAAAAUUUCCAUUUCUACCCAGACAUAAUAGAGAGAGAAAGGAGGACUCCCCAGACACGCUAAUACAGUCCGGCCCACCUCUCCAAAACAAAAUAAACAAAUGACACCCCUCCCCCUACAAACACCUUUCUGUAGCAAGGUAAAUCAUGAAUAAAUUAAGCGAAA
Molecule: long non-coding RNA, 382 nt
Organism: Telopea speciosissima
Lineage: Eukaryota; Viridiplantae; Streptophyta; Magnoliopsida; Proteales; Proteaceae
Exons: 2
Source: RefSeq, a predicted model, not a curated record